RNAcentral lists this ribosomal RNA (484 nucleotides) under uncultured bacterium. Its description in RNAcentral is "partial 16S ribosomal RNA". It matches the Rfam family "Bacterial small subunit ribosomal RNA", at positions 30 to 507 of the family's 1533-position model. The record is from RNAcentral.
AUUGAACGCUGGCGGCAGGCCUAACACAUGCAAGUCGAGCGGAUGAAGGGAGCUUGCUCCUGGAUUCAGCGGCGGACGGGUGAGUAAUGCCUAGGAAUCUGCCUGGUAGUGGGGGAUAACGUCCGGAAACGGGCGCUAAUACCGCAUACGUCCUGAGGGAGAAAGUGGGGGAUCUUCGGACCUCACGCUAUCAGAUGAGCCUAGGUCGGAUUAGCUAGUUGGUGGGGUAAAGGCCUACCAAGGCGACGAUCCGUAACUGGUCUGAGAGGAUGAUCAGUCACACUGGAACUGAGACACGGUCCAGACUACUACGGGAGGCAGCAGUGGGGAAUAUUAGACAGUGGGCGAAAGCAUGAUCCAGCCAUGCCGCGUGUGUGAAGAAGGUCUUCGGAUUGUAAAGAACUUUAAGUUGGGAGGAAGGGCAGUAAGUUAAUACCUUGCUGUUUUGACGUUACCAACAGAAUAAGCACCGGCUAACUUCGUG